AGCGAACGCUGGCGGCAGGCUCAACACAUGCAAGUCGAGCGGGCGUAGCAAUACGUCAGCGGCAGACGGGUGAGUAACGCGUGGGAACGUACCUUUUGGUUCGGAACAACACAGGGAAACUUGUGCUAAUACCGGAUAAGCCCUUACGGGGAAAGAUUUAUCGCCGAAAGAUCGGCCCGCGUCUGAUUAGCUAGUUGGUAGGGUAAUGGCCUACCAAGGCGACGAUCAGUAGCUGGUCUGAGAGGGUGAUCAGCCACAUUGGGACUGAGACACGGCCCAAACUCCUACGGGAGGCAGCAGUGGGGAAUAUUGGACAAUGGGGGCAACCCUGAUCCAGCCAUGCCGCGUGGGUGAUGAAGGCCCUAGGGUUGUAAAGCUCUUUUGUGCGGGAAGAUAAUGACGGUACCGCAAGAAUAAGCCCCGGCUAACUUCGUGCCAGCCGCCGCAGUAA
Molecule: ribosomal RNA, 451 nt
Filed under: uncultured bacterium
Lineage: Bacteria
Description: partial 16S ribosomal RNA
Rfam family: Bacterial small subunit ribosomal RNA
Source: RNAcentral